UACGGGGGGGGCAAGCGUUGUUCGGAAUUACUGGGCGUAAAGGGCUCGUAGGCGGCCAACUAAGUCAGACGUGAAAUCCCUCGGCUUAACCGGGGAACUGCGUCUGAUACUGGACGGCUAGAGUUUGGGAGAGGGAUGCAGAAUUCCAGGUGUAGCGGUGAAAUGCGUAGAUAUCUGGAGGAAUACCGGUGGCGAAGGCGGCAUCCUGGACCAACACUGACACUGAAUCGCGAAAGCUAGGGGAGCAAACGGG
RNAcentral lists this ribosomal RNA (253 nucleotides) under uncultured bacterium. RNAcentral describes it as "partial 16S ribosomal RNA". It matches the Rfam family "Bacterial small subunit ribosomal RNA", at positions 524 to 776 of the family's 1533-position model. The record is from RNAcentral.